AACGAACGCUGGCGGCAUGCCUAACACAUGCAAGUCGAACGAGACCUUCGGGUCUAGUGGCGCACGGGUGCGUAACGCGUGGGAACCUGCCCUUAGGUUCGGAAUAACUCCCCGAAAGGGGUGCUAAUACCGGAUGAUGUCUUCGGACCAAAGAUUUAUCGCCUUUGGAUGGGCCCGCGUUGGAUUAGCUAGUUGGUAGGGUAAAAGCCUACCAAGGCGACGAUCCAUAGCUGGUCUGAGAGGAUGAUCAGCCACACUGGGACUGAGACACGGCCCAGACUCCUACGGGAGGCAGCAGUGGGGAAUAUUGGACAAUGGGCGAAAGCCUGAUCCAGCAAUGCCGCGUGAGUGAUGAAGGCCUUAGGGUUGUAAAGCUCUUUUACCCGGGAUGACAAUGACAGUACCGGGAGAAUAAGCUCCGGCUAACUCCGUG
This 433-nucleotide ribosomal RNA is filed under the name uncultured bacterium. RNAcentral describes it as "partial 16S ribosomal RNA". It matches the Rfam family "Bacterial small subunit ribosomal RNA", at positions 29 to 507 of the family's 1533-position model. The record is from RNAcentral.